Molecule: long non-coding RNA, 378 nt
Organism: Nymphaea colorata (pocket water lily)
Lineage: Eukaryota; Viridiplantae; Streptophyta; Magnoliopsida; Nymphaeales; Nymphaeaceae
Exons: 3
Source: RefSeq, a predicted model, not a curated record
AAUAACCUUGUUUGGUUCUAAGAUAACCAUUUUUGGGCGUGAUAGGAAGCCCAUAAGACCAAACUCCAUCCAUUUUUGUUGCUGGUUUUGGCUUCUGUGGACGACAAUAGGAGGAGGCCUCGCCUUUUCCGCUUCUGCUAAUCUUCUAUGUUCCUAAGUAUCUCCAUAUCUCGCCUUUUUCUCUUCUGAACUGUAUGCACACUGCUACAAGAGUGCUUCCUUUGACUCGACCAUCAAGCUGUGGGAUGUGGAGAGAGGUAGCCUUUUGUACAGCUUGAAUGCAGAGAUCCUGUAUACUUGCAUUUAAUCCAAAUGGGGGGUAUCUAGCCAGUGGAUCAUAGGAUAACAAUGUUUACAUAUCUGGUCAGUAAAAGACGG